Molecule: ribosomal RNA, 465 nt
Filed under: uncultured bacterium
Lineage: Bacteria
Description: partial 16S ribosomal RNA
Rfam family: Bacterial small subunit ribosomal RNA
Source: RNAcentral
GACGAACGCUGGCGGCGUGCUUAACACAUGCAAGUCGAACGGAAAGGCCCUGCUUGCAGGGUACUCGAGUGGCGAACGGGUGAGUAACACGUGGGUGAUCUGCCCUGCACUUCGGGAUAAGCCUGGGAAACUGGGUCUAAUACCGGAUAGGAGCCAUUUUUAGUGUGAUGGUUGGAAAGUUUUUUCGGUGUAGGAUGAGCUCGCGGCCUAUCAGCUUGUUGGUGGGGUAAUGGCCUACCAAGGCGGCGACGGGUAGCCGGCCUGAGAGGGUGGACGGCCACAUUGGGACUGAGAUACGGCCCAGACGCCCACGGGAGGCAGCAGUGGGGAAUAUUGCACAAUGGGCGCAAGCCUGAUGCAGCGACGCCGCGUGGGGGAUGACGGCCUUCGGGUUGUAAACUCCUUUCGCUAGGGACGAAGCUUUUUGUGACGGUACCUAGAUAAGAAGCACCGGCUAACUACGUG